RNAcentral lists this ribosomal RNA (34 nucleotides) under Prunus mume var. mume. RNAcentral describes it as "partial 5.8S ribosomal RNA". Lineage: Eukaryota; Viridiplantae; Streptophyta; Magnoliopsida; Rosales; Rosaceae. The record is from RNAcentral.
GCCAUUAGGCCGAGGGCACGCCUGCCUGGGCGUC